Molecule: ribosomal RNA, 260 nt
Filed under: uncultured bacterium
Lineage: Bacteria
Description: partial 16S ribosomal RNA
Rfam family: Bacterial small subunit ribosomal RNA
Source: RNAcentral
UGGCGGACGGGUGAGUAACGCGUGGGUAACCCGCCCUGUACAGGGGGAGUAACAGUCAGAAAUGACUGCUAAUACCGCAUAAGACCACAGCACCGCAUGGUGCAGGGGUAAAAACUCCGGUGGUACAGGAUGGACCCGCGUCUGAUUAGCUGGUUGGUGAGGUAACGGCUCACCAAGGCGACGAUCAGUAGCCGGCUUGAGAGAGUGAACGGCCACAUUGGGACUGAGACACGGCCCAAACUCCUACGGGAGGCAGCAUG